This 1170-nucleotide long non-coding RNA is filed under the name Parus major (Great Tit). RNAcentral describes it as "lncRNA (ENSPMJG00000014545.1)". Lineage: Eukaryota; Metazoa; Chordata; Aves; Passeriformes; Paridae. The record is from RNAcentral.
GAGGGCCGGGCCGGGCUGGACCGGGCCGAUGGCGGCUUUGGGGGCUCCGCCGGCCCCAGCUCCGGUUCCUCGGUGGCCUCACAGUUCCUGCGGCUGCAGGGCCAGCAGUGCCUGCGCUGGCUCGGAGACAUACACCAGGGAAGGGCCACAGCUCAGGGUCAUGGCCAACUCGAUCUGACUUUGCUUUAAAGGUACAGUGAAACAGAUAGCAGAAUUCCUGUAAUUCUCUUCUAGGUGUUUGCUACUCUUGUUAUUUUACAGACACACACACACGCACAUAUAUAUAUAUAUAUAUAUAUAUAUGUGAGGUUAUUUAUUCUGAGUUCAGCCUCUCUCUGCAGUGUUUAAAGACCGAUGCAGUGUUUCAGUGGGCCCUUACCUGUCUUUUCCACGUCCAGACUCCAGAGUUCGGUGUCUCUUCCCAGGCCCUGCAGUACCACAGCCCUGUUCUGGGUCUGUCACUCCUGCCCUGAUGCUGUGGGGAUGGUGCCCUGCCAAGACCCCUUCUGGUACUAGCUGAAUAAAAGCUUCUAGAGCUAAAGUUGGUGUGUCCAUUAUGUUGCUGCAUCAAGGGUGCCAACGACAAGAGAUCCCAGAGACAGUAUUCCCUGGAUCAGAGAAGCAUGCCUGAGGAGUGAGCUGGACUGUGACACAAAGAAGUCCCUGCCAAAGCAGUGACAGCAGAGGAAGGUGCACAGAGCAAAUGUCCUGCACUGGCUGCAGGUGUCCUGGAGCUCUCCUGAAGCAGAGCUCCCAUGGCUCAGAGUCAGAAUUUACCACCACAGAGAACAGCUACUGCUGCAUUCUACUGUUCCUUCUCCAUAUUGUCUCAAACUGCUCGGGAUUGUAUGAGGAUUCCAGGCUUGCAGCUGACCCCAUAAUGAGGUGGAACAACCCUGGCAGUGGUACAAGGGAUCUCUGUGUGCCCUGACCUCCACUGUGAACCCCAAAUCUCUCCUUUCCCUGGCACUUCAGCCAGGGCUGGAGAGUCACAGACCCCAGGCUGCAGAGCCAGGACACAAACUGAGGAAACUGUGGAGUAAGAACCCAGGGAAGGUGUUCCUAAUGGGAUCAGUGACAGUGAAGCUGCCCCAGGGAUCCAGCAGCAAUAUACCUGAGACUUAUGUAGGAACUUGUUACUCAUUAAUCAUUAGUCAAGACACACUGCCU